This 253-nucleotide ribosomal RNA is filed under the name uncultured bacterium. Its description in RNAcentral is "partial 16S ribosomal RNA". It matches the Rfam family "Bacterial small subunit ribosomal RNA", at positions 524 to 776 of the family's 1533-position model. The record is from RNAcentral.
UACGGAGGGUGCAAACGUUGCUCGGAAUCAUUGGGCGUAAAGAGCGUGUAGGCGGCCCGGUAAGUCCGCUGUAAAAGUCAAAGGCUCAACCUUUGAAUGUCAGUGGAUACUGCCGGGCUAGAGUCCGGAAGAGGCGAGUGGAACUCCUGGUGUAGCGGUGGAAUGCGCAGAUAUCAGGAAGAACACCGACGGCGAAGGCAGCUCGCUGGGACGGUACUGACGCUGAGACGCGAAAGCGUGGGGAGCGAACAGG